CCCUUCUGAAUCUCGCUUGCUUACCAUGCAGUCGACGAUGAACCUCCUUCGGGAGGGGAUUAGUGGCGAACGGGUGAGUAACACGUGGGCAAUCUGCCCUGCACUCUGGGACAAGCCCUGGAAACGGGGUCUAAUACCGGAUACGAGCCUCCACCGCAUGGUGGGGGUUGGAAAGCUCCGGCGGUGCAGGAUGAGCCCGCGGCCUAUCAGCUUGUUGGUGAGGUAACGGCUCACCAAGGCGACGACGGGUAGCCGGCCUGAGAGGGCGACCGGCCACACUGGGACUGAGACACGGCCCAGACUCCUACGGGAGGCAGCAGUGGGGAAUAUUGCACAAUGGGCGAAAGCCUGAUGCAGCGACGCCGCGUGAGGGAUGACGGCCUUCGGGUUGUAAACCUCUUUCAGCAGGGAAGAAGCGAGAGUGACGGUACCUGCAGAAGAAGCGCCGGCUAACUACGUGCCAGCAGCCGCGCUAAUACGUACGGCGCAAGCGUUGUCCGGAAUUAUUGGGCGUAAAGAGCUCGUAGGCGGCUUGUCCCGUCCGCUGUGAAAGCCCGG
RNAcentral lists this ribosomal RNA (558 nucleotides) under Streptomyces ansochromogenes. Its description in RNAcentral is "bacterial SSU rRNA". It matches the Rfam family "Bacterial small subunit ribosomal RNA", at positions 34 to 605 of the family's 1533-position model. The record is from RNAcentral. Lineage: Bacteria; Bacillati; Actinomycetota; Actinomycetes; Kitasatosporales; Streptomycetaceae.